AGAGUUUGAUCAUGGCUCAGAACGAACGCUGGCGGCGCGCCUAACACAUGCAAGUCGAACGAGAAUCCGGGGCAACCCGGUAGUAAAGUGGCAAACGGGUGAGGAAUGCAUGGGCAACCUGCCCUUGAGAAGGGAAUAACCCGCCGAAAGGUGGGCUAAUACCCUAUACGCUAUCUUCUUUUCGGAAAAGAUAGGAAAGCUUGGUCGAGGACUCGGCACUCAAGGAGGGGCUCAUGUCCUAUCAGCUUGUUGGUGGGGUAACGGCCUACCAAGGCUACGACGGGUAGCUGGUCUGAGAGGAUGAUCAGCCACACUGGCACUGAGAUACGGGCCAGACUCCUACGGGAGGCAGCAGUGAGGAAUAUUGCGCAAUGGGCGAAAGCCUGACGCAGCGACGCCGCGUGGGGGAUGAAGGUUUUCGGAUUGUAAACCCCUUUCAUGAGGAAAGAUAAAGUGGGUAACCACUUAGACGGUACCUCAAGAAGAAGCCACGGCUAACUUCGUGCCAGCAGCCGCGGUAAUACGAAGGUGGCAAGCGUUGUUCGGAUUUACUGGGCGUAAAGAGCACGUAGGCGGUUGGGAAAGCCUCUUGGGAAAUCUCCCGGCUUAACCGGGAAAG
RNAcentral lists this ribosomal RNA (619 nucleotides) under uncultured bacterium. RNAcentral's name for it is "bacterial SSU rRNA". It matches the Rfam family "Bacterial small subunit ribosomal RNA", at positions 8 to 621 of the family's 1533-position model. The record is from RNAcentral.